GAUGAAGAACGCAGCGAAAUGCGAUAUGUAAUGUGAAUUGCAGAAUUCAGUGAAUCAUCGAAUCUUUGAACGCAUCUUGCGCUCCUUGGUAUUCUGAGGAGCAUGCCUGUUUGAGUGUCAUUAAAUUCUCAACUACACUGACUUUGAAUUGGUGUGGCUUGGAUUUGGGGGGAAAAUUGUUGUGGGCUUUUUGUAUAGUCUGCUCCCCUGAAAUUGAUUAGCGGUACCUUUGUGGAACUGUCUACAGGUGUGAUAAUUAUCUACAUCUUAGACAUCUGCUGGAAUGCUGCUUUCUAAACCUUACUUGUAUUGACAAUCUUGACCUCAAAUCAGGUAGGACUACCCGCUGAACUUAAGCAUAUCAAUAAGCGGAGGA
Molecule: unclassified non-coding RNA, 376 nt
Filed under: soil metagenome
Description: partial contains 5.8S ribosomal RNA, internal transcribed spacer 2, and large subunit ribosomal RNA
Rfam family: 5.8S ribosomal RNA (bases 1-120)
Source: RNAcentral